GAAGGGCUGUAGCUCAGUGGCAGAGCAACCGCUUUGUAUGCAGAACCUCCCAGGUUCAAUCCCCGACAUCUUCA
Podarcis lilfordi (Lilford's wall lizard) is the source of this 74-nucleotide non-coding RNA. NCBI's taxonomy places the organism in Eukaryota, Metazoa, Chordata, Lepidosauria, Squamata, Lacertidae. The record is from the annotation of a GenBank genome assembly.